GGGGGGAAACCCUGAUGCAGCGACGCCGCGUGAGCGAUGAAGUAUUUCGGUAUGUAAAGCUCUAUCAGCAGGGAAGAAUUAAGACGGUACCUGACUAAGAAGCACCGGCUAAAUACGUGCC
RNAcentral lists this ribosomal RNA (121 nucleotides) under uncultured bacterium. RNAcentral describes it as "partial 16S ribosomal RNA". It matches the Rfam family "Bacterial small subunit ribosomal RNA", at positions 372 to 509 of the family's 1533-position model. The record is from RNAcentral.